This is an RNA transcript of Arachis duranensis, 1409 nucleotides long. RefSeq lists it as uncharacterized. The transcript has 6 exons. Lineage: Eukaryota; Viridiplantae; Streptophyta; Magnoliopsida; Fabales; Fabaceae. The record is from RefSeq and is a predicted model, not a curated record.
GUCAUGGUUGAGGGGAGGAGAUCUGCACGGUGUCAUCGCUGCGUCGUCUUCCCCGACAAGUUCUCCGCUUGUUCUGCUUUUGCUCCGGCGGAUGUGAAGCACUCGGAGCACAGUUUGGGCGUGGACUCAAUGCCACUGGCUGAGGAGAUCUGAGAGAAGAGCAAAACAGAGAGAUUCAGAGAGGAGAGAGAACUCGCCUCGCCGUCGUCUUGCCGUCGCCACCGCAGUUCAUCGCCUCUCCAGAUCUGGUCGCAACGCCCAAGCCUCUGAGGAUGUUCCAUUACGACCUCCUUGACGAGACGCAGAACAAGCUCGAUUAUAUCCUCCCUCUCUCUCUCUCUCACUGUUGAGAACUUCCUCGAGUGCCGCCUUCAUAUUCUCAUCUUCAAGUCCGGCAUGGCCAAGUUCAUCCAUCAGUGCAUAUUAGGCCAGAGAGGAGGUUCAUUGAGCUGGAGGCUCUGGAGAAAAUCAUACAGGAAAGAAUAUUGUCAGUACUGAAAUUUUCAGUGGAGGAUCUGUUGGAUAUAGUAUGUAGUCUUGGGAGUUUGUUGUAAAAUUUUUAUCACAGAUAAUGUUUAAAUCUCCUUAUUUGAAAAAGGAAGUGGAGAUUGAAUGUUGAAGUUUUGGCAUUUAGCCCGUGAGUGAGCAACUGUGGCUUGUAAAUGAGAAGUUUUAAUUUGAUAUUUGUCGUUAAUUUCCCUUUACUGUUCAAGGGGAAACACUCAGAUUGUUCCAGAAUUUCCAGCGAAACUUGAUUGGCUGAAUACAGCUCCACUACAAUUUCGCAGGGAUCUGAAAGGAAAAGUUGUUGUCCUGGAUUUCUGGACUUAUUGUUGUAUAAACUGUAUGCAUGUCUUACCAGACCUAGAAUUUUUGGAGAAGAAAUACAAAGAUAUGCCAGUGUUCAUUCUGCGAAGUUUGAUAAUGAGAAAGAUUCUGAAGCCAUUCGUAAUGCAGUUCUACACUAUGAUAUCACUCAUCCGGUUGUGAAUGAUAGUGACAUGUAUCUUUGGCGCAAGUUAGGCAUAAAUUCAUGGCCAACAUUUGCUGUCGUUGGCCCCAAUGGUAAGCUCCUAGCACAACUUGCUAGAGAAGGUCACAAGAAGGUGGUUACCGACCUUGAUGGGAACUUCAUUGUACAAAUUAGUAGCAGUUGGGAGCAAGGUCUGCAGGAUGGUUCAUUUGAUGAUGCCACCUUUAACAAAUUGGUGAUAGUACUUGAAAUUUAAUGGAGAUAUGGAGGAGACAGAUGAUUCGAUAAGCUGAUCAAUCUUGCUAUUCUUUUUUUUAUUAAUCAAACUAGUAUUUUGUGGAUUAUGUUGCUAUAUAAAUUUUUAGGAAUUCCGUUACCUGAUGUACUCAUUCUGUUCAAACAAGAGACUAUAGUUUUUGAUACGCUAUUACUAUUA